CAGAAAUACUCUCUCCAUAAACGUCCUCUCUCCUCCAUUCUCUAGUUCGGAUUUUACAAUUUCAAGCAAGGGAGGAAGAAGGAAGAAGAAGCCGUGAGCAUCCCCUCCAUAAUCCACCUUGAAGCCGUGAGCUUUGGAGAUUGCUUCCAAGAUUCAGAGUUCAUCACUUCGAGUUCAUCAUCACCAUCUCCAUUCAUGGUGUAAUUCGACCUUCAACCUUGUAACCUCUUUCAGUUUUCCUUGUUUGAAUUUGUGUACCCUCAAUCCCCGGAAUAGAACGAUCCCUACUUGCUUAUACUACUAAUGAUAUUUUUAGGGUUAAAUUAUGCGUUUGCUUUUAGCGUAUCAUUCUCAAUAAUAUGAUGACAAUUCUCUCUACAAUUCUCUCUCAAUUCUAUUAUCCUUAAACACGUUAUCAGCACGAGCUUUAACCACAAACCAAAAACCAAAAACCCAAAAAUCUUCUUCAUCACCGCAGCUCCUAGCCCACGCUAGCCUCACCUACGCGCCCCUGCGCACAUAUCCCUGCUGCCCCUGCAGCACCGCUGCACGUCGGCUGCCCCUGCAGCACCAGCGCACACCAACUGCAUCCUUCUCCUUUCCUGUGCACGUCUGUCUUCUUGCAAGCCCCGAAACGUCUAGUUCGGAACCUCAGAUCAAAAUAUUUUCUUCAUCAAAGUUGUUCGUCUCUGUCUCUUCCAUCUGACCUCCGAAUUUCAGCCUUAUCGGAGUUGUUUUGAGACCUGUACACCAAUAGAAGUGCAAGCUGUUCAGAAGAGAAUCUGUUCCGAAUUUCAACAAGAUGUAAGACUUGAACGAGCUCGAUUUUACUCCAUUGGAUUCUACGGGCACGGGAUAUUUAUUUGCCUACAAUCCAAGAGCCCAAUUCCAGGGCCUGUUCUAAAGGAACCGCUCAAGACUCACAAACUGAGAUAGAAAAUUCCAGGGCAUUUACCCUGAUGAAGCGCCACAUGAAGAUGGCCCUCAAGUUUGAGUACAUGAAUGAGGAUAACGCUAACAACCUUUGGGUUGCGCCUAGUGAAUGUUUUAGUAACAUUCACAACUUUCCGAACAUAGAAGCAAGAUGGAAUAAUAUAUGCUUCACUAAAACUUUGAAAGAGUUAUGAAAUAUUGUUCGGAGGCUCUCUGCAUCAUAUUAUUUAUGCAUGCUUGUGGAAAAACACAAAAGAACAAAUUGAUUGAGAAAACCCUAACAUGACCAUAGGAGUCAUGACGUUGAGGGUAUAGGGUUGGACACCAUGGCACCACUUUUGGCCAUGAUUGCACUACUCCAACGCCAUUGGUCCUAGAGACCAUUUGUAUUGUGUCAAUACACCUCAAUCAAGAGAGCAUCCUCUUCAUGGUAUUUUAUGGAGUACCUGAUCAAUGGUAAUCAAGAUAUCGAGCCAUAAAAGACUUCAAAUCUGGCGAUGAAGAAAGAAUGCCGCAGAUUUUUAUAUAGCAUAGUCUUUUAAUUUCCAAGAAUUAUGUAAUGACAAUUAUGCUUUAAUCAAUAAAAUGACUUACUGGAUUAUUUC
Long non-coding RNA from Rosa rugosa (rugosa rose), 1538 nucleotides. RefSeq lists it as uncharacterized. The transcript is spliced from 3 exons. NCBI's taxonomy places the organism in Eukaryota, Viridiplantae, Streptophyta, Magnoliopsida, Rosales, Rosaceae. The record is from RefSeq and is a predicted model, not a curated record.